UACGUAGGUGGCAAGCGUUAUCCGGAAUUAUUGGGCGUAAAGAGCGCGCAGGUGGUUAAUUAAGUCUGAUGUGAAAGCCCACGGCUUAACCGUGGAGGGUCAUUGGAAACUGGUUGACUUGAGUGCAGAAGAGGGAAGUGGAAUUCCAUGUGUAGCGGUGAAAUGCGUAGAUAUUAGGAGGAACACCGGCGGCGAAGGCGGCUUACUGGACUGUAACUGACGUUGAGGCUCGAAAGCGUGGGGAGCAAACAGG
This 253-nucleotide ribosomal RNA is filed under the name uncultured bacterium. RNAcentral's name for it is "partial 16S ribosomal RNA". It matches the Rfam family "Bacterial small subunit ribosomal RNA", at positions 524 to 776 of the family's 1533-position model. The record is from RNAcentral.